GACGAACGCUGGCGGCGUGCUUAACACAUGCAAGUCGAACGGAAAGGCCCUGCUUUUGUGGGGUGCUCGAGUGGCGAACGGGUGAGUAACACGUGAGUAACCUGCCCUUGACUUUGGGAUAACUUCAGGAAACUGGGGCUCAUACCGGAUAGGAGCUCCUGCUGCAUGGUGGGGGUUGGAAAGUUUCGGCGGUUGGGGAUGGACUCGCGGCUUAUCAGCUUGUUGGUGGGGUAGUGGCUUACCAAGGCUUUGACGGGUAGCCGGCCUGAGAGGGUGACCGGCCACAUUGGGACUGAGAUACGGCCCAGACUCCUACGGGAGGCAGCAGUGGGGAAUAUUGCACAAUGGGCGGAAGCCUGAUGCAGCAACGCCGCGUGCGGGAUGACGGCCUUCGGGUUGUAAUCCGCUUUCGCCUGUGACGAAGCGUGAGUGACGGUAAUGGGUAAAGAAGCACCGGCUAACUACGUG
Molecule: ribosomal RNA, 468 nt
Filed under: uncultured bacterium
Lineage: Bacteria
Description: partial 16S ribosomal RNA
Rfam family: Bacterial small subunit ribosomal RNA
Source: RNAcentral